This 794-nucleotide ribosomal RNA is filed under the name uncultured bacterium. Its description in RNAcentral is "bacterial SSU rRNA". It matches the Rfam family "Bacterial small subunit ribosomal RNA", at positions 8 to 796 of the family's 1533-position model. The record is from RNAcentral.
AGAGUUUGAUCAUGGCUCAGAUUGAACGCUGGCGGCAGGCUUAACACAUGCAAGUCGAGCGGGGAAAGGUAGCUUGCUACCUGACCUAGCGGCGGACGGGUGAGUAAUGCUUAGGAAUCUGCCUAUUAGUGGGGGACAACAUCUCGAAAGGGAUGCUAAUACCGCAUACGUCCUACGGGAGAAAGCAGGGGACCUUCGGGCCUUGCGCUAAUAGAUGAGCCUAAGUCGGAUUAGCUAGUUGGUGGGGUAAAGGCCUACCAAGGCGACGAUCUGUAGCGGGUCUGAGAGGAUGAUCCGCCACGCUGGGACUGAGACACGGCCCAGACUCCUACGGGAGGCAGCAGUGGGGAAUAUUGGACAAUGGGGGGAACCCUGAUCCAGCCAUGCCGCGUGUGUGAAGAAGGCCUUUUGGUUGUAAAGCACUUUAAGCGAGGAGGAGGCUACCGAGAUUAAUACUCUUGGAUAGUGGACGUUACUCGCAGAAUAAGCACCGGCUAUCUCUGUGCCAGCAGCCGCGGUAAUACAGAGGGUGCAAGCGUUAAUCGGAUUUACUGGGCGUAAAGCGCGCGUAGGUGGCCAAUUAAGUCAAAUGUGAAAUCCCCGAGCUUAACUUGGGAAUUGCAUUCGAUACUGGUUGGCUAGAGUAUGGGAGAGGAUGGUAGAAUUCCAGGUGUAGCGGUGAAAUGCGUAGAGAUCUGGAGGAAUACCGAUGGCGAAGGCAGCCAUCUGGCCUAAUACUGACACUGAGGUGCGAAAGCAUGGGGAGCAAACAGGAUUAGAUACCCUGGUAGUCC